AGUGAACGCUGGCGGUAGGCCUAACACAUGCAAGUCGAACGGCAGCACAGUAAGAGCUUGCUCUUACGGGUGGCGAGUGGCGGACGGGUGAGGAAUACAUCGGAAUCUACUUUUUCGUGGGGGAUAACGUAGGGAAACUUACGCUAAUACCGCAUACGACCUACGGGUGAAAGCAGGGGAUCUUCGGACCUUGCGCGAUUGAAUGAGCCGAUGUCGGAUUAGCUAGUUGGCGGGGUAAAGGCCCACCAAGGCGACGAUCCGUAGCUGGUCUGAGAGGAUGAUCAGCCACACUGGAACUGAGACACGGUCCAGACUCCUACGGGAGGCAGCAGUGAGGAAUAUUGGACAAAGGGCGCAAGCCUGAUCCAGCCAUACCGCGUGGGUGAAGAAGGCCUUCGGGUUGUAAAGCCCUUUUGCUGGGAAAGAAAAGCAGCAGGUUAAUACCCCGCUGUUCUGACGGUACCCAAAGAAUAAGCACCGGCUAACUUCGUG
RNAcentral lists this ribosomal RNA (492 nucleotides) under uncultured bacterium. Its description in RNAcentral is "partial 16S ribosomal RNA". It matches the Rfam family "Bacterial small subunit ribosomal RNA", at positions 29 to 507 of the family's 1533-position model. The record is from RNAcentral.